RNAcentral lists this ribosomal RNA (253 nucleotides) under uncultured bacterium. RNAcentral describes it as "partial 16S ribosomal RNA". It matches the Rfam family "Bacterial small subunit ribosomal RNA", at positions 524 to 776 of the family's 1533-position model. The record is from RNAcentral.
UACGGAGGGGGCUAGCGUUGUUCGGAAUUACUGGGCGUAAAGGGCGCGUAGGCGGCCUUCUAAGUCGAACGUGAAAUCCCCGGGCUCAACCCGGGAACUGCGUCCGAUACUGGAAGGCUUGAAUCCGGGAGAGGGAUGUGGAAUUCCAGGUGUAGCGGUGAAAUGCGUAGAUAUCUGGAGGAACACCGGUGGCGAAGGCGACAUCCUGGACCGGUAUUGACGCUGAGGCGCGAAAGCCAGGGGAGCAAACGGG